Molecule: ribosomal RNA, 465 nt
Filed under: uncultured bacterium
Lineage: Bacteria
Description: partial 16S ribosomal RNA
Rfam family: Bacterial small subunit ribosomal RNA
Source: RNAcentral
GACGAACGCUGGCGGCGUGCUUAACACAUGCAAGUCGAACGGAAAGGCCCUGCUUGCAGGGUACUCGAGUGGCGAACGGGUGAGUAACACGUGGGUGAUCUGCCCUGCACUUCGGGAUAAGCCUGGGAAACUGGGUCUAAUACCGGAUAGGAGCCAUUUUUAGUGUGAUGGUUGGAAAGUUUUUUCGGUGUAGGAUGAGCUCGCGGCCUAUCAGCUUGUUGGUGGGGUAAUGGCCUACCAAGGCGGCGACGGGUAGCCGGCCUGAGAGGGUGGACGGCCACAUUGGGACUGAGAUACGGCCCAGACUCCUACGGGAGGCAGCAGUGGGGAAUAUUGCACAAUGGGCGCAAGCCUGAUGCAGCGACGCCGCGUGGGGGAUGACGGCCUUCGGGUUGUAAACUCCUUUCGCUAGGGACGAAGCUUUUUGUGACGGUACCUAGAUAAGAUGCACCGGCUAACUACGUG